GAUGAACGCUGGCGGCGUGCCUAAUACAUGCAAGUCGAGCGAACAGACGAGGAGCUUGCUCCUCUGACGUUAGCGGCGGACGGGUGAGUAACACGUGGAUAACCUACCUAUAAGACUGGGAUAACUUCGGGAAACCGGAGCUAAUACCGGAUAAUAUAUUGAACCGCAUGGUUCAAUAGUGAAAGACGGUUUUGCUGUCACUUAUAGAUGGAUCCGCGCCGCAUUAGCUAGUUGGUAAGGUAACGGCUUACCAAGGCGACGAUGCGUAGCCGACCUGAGCGGGUGAUCGGCCACACGGGAACUGAGACACGGUCCAGACUCCUACGGGAGGCAGCAGUAGGGAAUCUUCCGCAAUGGGCGAAAGCCUGACGGAGCAACGCCGCGUGAGUGAUGAAGGUCUUCGGAUCGUAAAACUCUGUUAUUAGGGAAGAACAAAUGUGUAAGUACCUAUGCACGUCUUGACGGUACCUAAUCAGAAAGCCACGGCUAACUACGUG
Molecule: ribosomal RNA, 497 nt
Filed under: uncultured bacterium
Lineage: Bacteria
Description: partial 16S ribosomal RNA
Rfam family: Bacterial small subunit ribosomal RNA
Source: RNAcentral